UACGUAGGGUGCGAGCGUUAAUCGGAAUUACUGGGCGUAAAGCGUGCGCAGGCGGUUUGCUAAGUCAGGUGUGAAAUCCCCGGGCUUAACCUGGGAACUGCGCUUGUUACUGGCAGGCUGGAGUGUGGCAGAGGGGGGUAGAAUUCCACGUGUAGCAGUGAAAUGCGUAGAGAUGUGGAGGAAUACCGAUGGCGAAGGCAGCCCCCUGGGUUAACACUGACGCUCAUGCACGAAAGCGUGGGGAGCAAACAGG
This 253-nucleotide ribosomal RNA is filed under the name uncultured bacterium. RNAcentral describes it as "partial 16S ribosomal RNA". It matches the Rfam family "Bacterial small subunit ribosomal RNA", at positions 524 to 776 of the family's 1533-position model. The record is from RNAcentral.